AUGUUGGACCGCCGACCGGCGAGCGCGCCACAAUCUACCUCACGACCCCCUUUGCAAGUUGUGCAUCAGGACAACGAGACACUGCACCACCUUCUCGUAGGUUGCGUCUUCUCAUGCAUCAUAUGGCACGACAUCAUGGCACGGUGCCGCAUACCUGCCCUUCCUCCUGAUGGCACUACCGGUUUCUUCGACUGGUGGAUGGCGACGCCAGCCAGCGUGCCAGUCUGUCUCCGCAAAGGGACGAACUCCAUCAUCAUCCUCACCUCUUGGGCGCUUUGGAAGCAUCGCGACGCAGCUCUCUUCGACAAUGCUGCACCCUCCUAUAACAAGCUAAUCGAGGACAUACAACAGGAGGUGAAACUCUAAGCAAGAGCCGCGCCAAAUGGCUCAAUAGGAUCAUUCAUGUAA
Molecule: ribosomal RNA, 408 nt
Filed under: Triticum aestivum (bread wheat)
Lineage: Eukaryota; Viridiplantae; Streptophyta; Magnoliopsida; Poales; Poaceae
Description: partial small subunit ribosomal RNA
Source: RNAcentral